RNAcentral lists this long non-coding RNA (445 nucleotides) under Hordeum vulgare. RNAcentral describes it as "long non-coding RNA (HVUL_LNC000644)". The record is from RNAcentral. Lineage: Eukaryota; Viridiplantae; Streptophyta; Magnoliopsida; Poales; Poaceae.
UUAUAUAGGGUGUUGCAACGAUAGUUGACGAAGUAGAUGAAGUGCUCGGAGUUGGACUAGAAGCCCGUGAAGAUCUCGAAGACUUUGAUGAACCAGGCAAGCAACCCCUUGACCAUGACUUGAAACCAUUUUAUGCGUGUCAUAUGGCACUUUACUUUGUUGCAUUUGAAUCAUGUCGAAUUGGUGACCACCUUGGUGGGUUGUCUCCGAUAACUCCUCAUUAAUACUUGCAUUAAGCAUGACCCUACCUUCCUAUGAGGAUUAUGCGGGUGGGAAAUAGUUAGGAUGCUAUAUAGAUGCUGCGCUAAUGGGAUGGGAAUAUGCAUGGUGUCAGAAUAAGGAAUGAUUUCAAAGACUUUUUGAAAACCCGUCGGGUGCCACAAAUGCCCGAGGGAAAUGGUGACAAGACUAGGUGACCACUUGAGAAAGAAGUGGUGUACCAAAA